CUUGGAUUGGUUUAGAUAUCUUUCCAACCCUUUUUUCUAGAGUGACAAAUGCUUUUUUUGGUCUGUUCUCAUAUCUCAGAUUACAACAGCAGCUGCAGUACUUGUUAAUUGUCUCAGAGCCUAAAAGUAAGUACAUGCCUUCUGUGUGGCAGAUAAAUUCUUUUACUCUCCAGGGGCAUUCACUUACAUCAAGCUUCUAUAGGUGUUCAGUUGAUUCAGUCUCACCACCGUUUUCAUUUUACUGGAAUUGAACCAACUCUAGGAGGUCAUUUUUUCACUUCCGACUGCAUACAGUUCGCUGGCCACAGACAUCAGCGAUGACAAACUUUUUGUAAUACACGAUAACUUCUUCUUUUUUGUUAGUUUGCUAGACAUCUGGAAAAACUGGUGUGAGUUAUAUUUUCUAUCCGCU
RNAcentral lists this long non-coding RNA (412 nucleotides) under Brassica napus (rape). RNAcentral's name for it is "long non-coding RNA (BNAP_LNC005916)". Lineage: Eukaryota; Viridiplantae; Streptophyta; Magnoliopsida; Brassicales; Brassicaceae. The record is from RNAcentral.